RNAcentral lists this non-coding RNA (217 nucleotides) under Anncaliia algerae PRA339. Its description in RNAcentral is "Archaeal large subunit ribosomal RNA". It matches the Rfam family "Archaeal large subunit ribosomal RNA", at positions 2765 to 2987 of the family's 2987-position model. Lineage: Eukaryota; Fungi; Microsporidia; Tubulinosematidae. The record is from Rfam by way of RNAcentral.
UAUUCACGGGACCACUGGUUACGCGCUUAUCUGACAAGGUACGGUGCUCCGCUACGUCCUCGCAGUUAACGGCUGAAAGCCUCUAAGCCGGAAACUGCCCUUGCGCAGGCUCGAGCUCCGCUCAAAGACGAUGAGCGUAAGAAUAGUGAAGCUGUACGUGUGCGAGCUGUUGCGAGACACUGAGGCUGCUAAGUUCUUCCGGGGCGCAUGUGCAGAA